AGCCCAUGGUAAGGGCACCUUCUCAAUAGGUCCUUGUAUCUCUCUCAUGCAUCAUAAAGUAUUUCUACAUCCAUCUGCACAAAAGAAGAGAUAUCAUUCCUCAACUU
This 107-nucleotide small nucleolar RNA is filed under the name Gossypium hirsutum (cotton). RNAcentral's name for it is "Plant small nucleolar RNA R71". It matches the Rfam family "Plant small nucleolar RNA R71". Rfam says of the family: R71 is a member of the C/D box family of snoRNAs containing the C (UGAUGA) and D (CUGA) box motifs. Multiple nearly identical copies of this snoRNA have been identified in Arabidopsis, and it is thought to function as a 2'-O-ribose methylation guide for 18S ribosomal RNA. The record is from Rfam by way of RNAcentral. Lineage: Eukaryota; Viridiplantae; Streptophyta; Magnoliopsida; Malvales; Malvaceae.